UACGUAGGUGGCAAGCGUUGUCCGGAUUUACUGGGCGUAAAGCGCGCGCAGGCGGUCGUUCAAGUCGCGUGUGAAAGCCCCCGGCUCAACUGGGGAGGGUCACGCGAUACUGAUCGACUGGAAGGCAGGAGAGGGUAGUGGAAUUCCCGGUGUAGUGGUGAAAUGCGUAGAUAUCGGGAGGAACACCAGUGGCGAAGGCGACUACCUGGCCUGUUCUUGACGCUGAGGCGCGAAAGCUAGGGGAGCAAACGGG
Molecule: ribosomal RNA, 253 nt
Filed under: uncultured bacterium
Lineage: Bacteria
Description: partial 16S ribosomal RNA
Rfam family: Bacterial small subunit ribosomal RNA
Source: RNAcentral